AGAGUUUGAUCCUGGCUCAGAACGUACGCUGGCGGCACGCCUAACACAUGCAAGUCGAACGAAGUAGCAAUACUUAGUGGCAGACGGGUGAGUAACAUGUAGGUAUCUGCCCUUUGGCCUGGAAUAACACGAGGAAACUUGUGCUAAUACCGGAUAAGUCUUUACGGAGAAAGCUUUAUGCACCAUUGGAUGAGCCUGCACUUGAUUAGUUUGUUGGUGGGGUAAUGGCCUACCAAGACUGUGAUCAAUAGCUGAUUUGAGAGGAUGAUCAGCCACAUUGGGACUGAGACACGGCUCAAACUCCUACGGGAGGCAGCAGUGGGGAAUCUUGCACAAUGGAGGAAACUCUGAUGCAGCGAUGCCACGUGAGUGAAGAAGGCCCUUGGGUUGUAAGGCUCUUUCGUCGGGGAAGAAAAUGACUGUACCCGAAUAAGAAGGUCCGGCUAACUUCGUGCCAGCAGCCGCGGUAAU
RNAcentral lists this ribosomal RNA (471 nucleotides) under uncultured bacterium. Its description in RNAcentral is "bacterial SSU rRNA". It matches the Rfam family "Bacterial small subunit ribosomal RNA", at positions 8 to 524 of the family's 1533-position model. The record is from RNAcentral.